UUUUUUUUUUCUUUUUUUUCUUUAAUGCCAUUUGAGACCUAUUUCAUUUUGUAGCUUUCUAGGAGUUCAGAGUAUGGAUGUCUUAAAUUUUACAUUAUGAUUUUUUUUUUGAUGCUAUUUAGACUGCUUCGUAGAAGUACAUACUAAAAACUGCCCUGAUAGAAAGCGUUUUGUGUAAACGUUAGGAUAGAUGUAGAACUCAGGGUAACACAGUUCCCACCCCACCUUCUUAAAAGCAAGGAAAGAAAGAAUAGUGAUCUAUGUAAAGCAAACCCAGUAGUGAGAUUGCUUGGUGGCGUUCUUAAAGUCAUUACUUUUUUACACACACAGGUCUUUUCUCAACAAAUAAUCUGCACAGGAAGUGCAAGGGGAUCAAGGAAUCGCGAGGGUAAAGACAGAAAGGGAGCUGGUGAGACAGGCAUCUUGGUCCAAGGGCUCGGGCAGUGUCCAGGUGAAGGACCGGGUCUUGCGUUGGGCCCCACCCGGUUAUUUCCAUUCUUUCCAGGUUAGACUGAGGGAGUAAUCCCCUAGGAUAUAAAAAAAAAAGAGCCUCGAGGAACGGAAUGUGCCCUGAGAACAGUCGUGAACGGCAGCGAGACCAGGAAAGGAUGCAGGAUGCCAACGGCAGCCAUCACUAUGGCGGCCGCGCCGGGAGCAGGCGGUCGACUCGCUUUCCCAGCGGCUCCCGCGGUCCGCAGGGCCGAGAGUCCACUGGCUCUGGCGUGCGGGGGCGGGGCCGAAGCCGGAAGUCACGUGCCGUGACAGCGGCUGGGGUGAGGCCCGCGUCGCGGCUGUGGCUGCUCGGGGCUGUGUCUGUGGGAGGUUCCGCGGCGAUGGCCGUGGACACUCUGUCGCCCGACUGGGACUUCGACCGCGUGGACGACGGCUCUCAGAAAAUUCAUGCUGAAGUCCAGCUGAAGAACUACGGGAGGUUCCUUGAGGAGUACACAUCUCAGCUGAGAAGAAUUGAGGACGCCCUAGAUGAUUUGAUUGGCGAUGUUUGGGAUUUCAAUCUUGAUCCUAUAGCAUUAAAGCUUCUGCCCUAUGAGCAGUCUUCCCUUUUGGAACUCAUAAAGACUGAAAACAAGGUCCUGAACAAAGUCAUCACUGUUUAUGCGGCACUUUGUUGCGAGAUCAAGAAAUUAAAAUAUGAGGCAGAAACUAAGUUUUACAAUGGUCUUCUGUUUUAUGGUGAAGGAGCUACAGAUUCCAGCAUGGUGGAAGGUGACUGCCAAAUUCAAAUGGGGAGAUUCGUUUCAUUCUUACAGGAACUGUCCUGCUUUGUGACGAGGUGCUACGAAGUGGUGAUGAAUGUCAUCCACCAGCUGGCUGCCCUGUACAUCAGCAACAAGAUAGGACCCAAAAUUAUAGAGACAACUGGAGUUCAUUUUCAGACUAUGUAUGAGCACUUGGGAGAACUGCUAACAGUUUUACUUACCCUGGAUGAGAUUGUUGAUAAUCAUGUCACGCUGAAAGACCACUGGACUAUGUACAAAAGGUUGCUGAAAUCUGUCCAUCACAACCCUUCAAAAUUUGGGAUUCAGGAAGAAAAGUUAAAGCCCUUUGAGAAGUUCUUGCUGAAGCUGGAAGGGCAGUUACUUGAUGGAAUGAUAUUUCAGGCCUGUAUCGAACAGCAGUUUGAUUCUCUCAAUGGAGGAAUAUCUGUGUCGAAAAAUAGCACGUUUGCAGAAGAGUUUGCACAUAGCAUUCGCUCAAUUUUUGCAAAUGUGGAAGCCAAGCUUGGUGAGCCUUCUGAAAUUGACCAGAGAGACAAGUAUGUUGGAAUUUGUGGGCUCUUUGUACUGCACUUUCAGAUUUUUCGGACUGUUGAUAAAAAGUUUUAUAAGUCUUUAUUGGACAUUUGUAAGAAGGUGCCAGCCAUCACUUUAACUGCUAAUAUUAUUUGGUUUCCUGAUAAUUUUCUGAUUCAUAAAAUGCCAGCAGCUGCCAAACUUCUAGACAGAAAAAGUCUUCAAGCCAUUAAAAUACACAGGGAUACCUUCCUACAGCAGAAAGCUCAGUCACUUAACAAAGAUGUGCAGUCUUACUACGUCUUUGUGAGCUCAUGGAUGAUGAAGAUGGAGUCUAUGUUAUCUAAAGAGCAGAGGAUGGAUACAUUUGCUGAAGACCUCACCAACAGAUGCAAUGUUUUCAUACAGGGUUUCUUAUAUGCAUAUAGUAUUAGUACCAUUAUUAAGACCACAAUGAAUCUCUACAUGUCCAUGCAGAAGCCUAUGACCAAAACUUCAGUGAAGGCAUUAUGCAGGCUCAUUGAACUUCUCAAGGCAAUAGAGCAUAUGUUCUACAGGAGAAGCAUGGUUGUGGCGGAUUCGGUGUCACAUAUAACACAGCACCUUCAACAUCAGGCUCUUAGUUCUAUUUCUGUAGCCAAGAAAAGAGUAAUUUCAGACAAAAAAUAUAGUGAACAGCGUCUUGAUGUGCUAUCUGCUCUUGUUUUGGCUGAAAACACCUUAAAUGGACCAAGCACAAAACAACGACGACUUAUUGUUUCUUUGGCAUUGAGCGUUGGCACGCAAAUGAAAACAUUUAAAGAUGAAGAACUCUUUCCCCUUCAAGUAGUCAUGAAGAAGCUGGAUCUUAUCAGCGAGCUUAGAGAGCGAGUCCAAGCACAGUGUGACUGCUGUUUUUUAUACUGGCAUCGCGCUGUCUUCCCGAUUUAUUUAGAUGAUGUAUAUGAAAAUGCUGUCGAUGCAGCCAGAUUACAUUACAUGUUCAGUGCUUUACGAGACUGUGUGCCUGCCAUGAUGCAUUCAAGGCAUUUAGAGUCCCAUGAGCUGCUUUUGGAUUGCUAUGACAAGGAAAUCAUGGACAUUUUAAAUGAGCAUUUGCUGGAUAAGCUGUGUAAGGAGAUCGAGAAGGACUUGCGGCUUUCUGUGCAUACUCACUUGAAGCUGGAUGACCGGAACCCCUUCAAAGUUGGCAGGAAAGACUUGGCGCUCUUUUUCUCUCUGAACCCUAUUCGGUUUUUCAAUCGAUUCAUUGAUAUUCGAGCUUAUGUAACUCACUAUCUGGAUAAGACUUUCUACAAUCUCACAACAGUAGCUCUUCAUGAUUGGGCCACUUACAGUGAAAUGAGAAAUCUGGCUACGCAGCGUUAUGGUUUGGUUAUGACAGAGGCACAUCUUCCUAGCCAGACUUUGGAGCAGGGACUCGAUGUCCUGGAAAUUAUGAGAAACAUUCACAUAUUUGUCUCAAGAUACCUCUAUAAUCUCAAUAACCAGAUUUUUAUUGAACGGACAAGCAACAAUAAACAUUUGAAUACUAUUAAUAUUCGACACAUUGCUAAUUCGAUUCGAACACAUGGGACGGGGAUCAUGAAUACAACAGUUAAUUUCACGUACCAGUUUUUGAAAAAGAAGUUCUAUAUAUUUAGUCAGUUUAUGUAUGAUGAGCAUAUCAAAUCCAGAUUGAUUAAAGAUAUUCGGUUUUUCAGGGAGAUCAAGGACCAAAAUGACCACAAGUAUCCUUUUGAUAGAGCAGAAAAAUUCAAUCGUGGCAUAAGAAAACUUGGAAUCACACCAGAGGGACAGAGCUACCUUGACCAGUUCAGGCAGCUCAUCAGCCAGAUUGAUUCGUGCCGGAUCUUGAAGACAUUGUGAGUUUUGAAGAGCUCGUGAAAGAAGAAGGGCUUGCAGAAGAAACACUUAGAGCAGCCAGGCAUUUGGACUCAGUCCUCAGUGAUCAUACACGGAACUCUGCUGAAGGUACAGAAUAUUUCAAAAUGCUUGUAGAUGUUUUUGCUCCAGAAUUUCGAAGGCCAAAGAAUAUACAUCUCCGAAAUUUCUAUAUCAUUGUUCCUCCUCUUACUCUGAACUUUGUAGAACAUUCUAUAAGUUGCAAAGAGAAGUUGAAUAAAAAAAAUAAACUAGGAGCUGCAUUUACUGACGAUGGUUUUGCCAUGGGUGUGGCUUAUACCUUAAAGCUUUUGGAUCAGUACCAAGAGUUUGAUUCACUUCAUUGGUUCCAGUCUGUUAGAGAAAAAUACAUAAAGGAGAUCAGAGCAGUUGCUAAGCAACAGAACGUGCAGUCAACUAGUCAAGAUGAAAAACUACUCCAAACCAUGAACCUUACUCAGAAGCGACUGGAGGUCUAUUUACAGGAAUUUGAGCUGCUGUAUUUCUCCUUGAGCAGUGCAAGAAUAUUCUUCAGAGCAGACAAGACCGCAGCUGAAGAGAACCAAGAAAAGAAAGAGAAGGAAGAAGAAACUAAAACAAGCAAUGGAGAUGGACCCGAGAGCACUGUGUCUGCAGAUCCCGUGGUGAAAUGAUGGUGUGCAGUCGUCAGACGUAUCAUGAUGCUUUUCCAGAGACAUGGAUGCUAUGGCGUGCUUGAUAAGUUGUCAUUUCCCAGGUCACACCUAAGGAGACUGUACGGACUGCUCUGGCUCUGGAGUCAAGUCCACUUUAUUUCUGAUGCUCCAGCUUUCAAGGGCCGAGAAGCAAACGGUAAGACUGGAUCUUUGGAGUGUAGGCUGAAGGCGCCCCUGUGAAACUGCCAUGAAGCUGGCGAAGGGCAAGUCCAGAUCCCUAACCCAUCGCCUCCCUUCCCUGUACUCUGUGUGUGUUUGUAAUUUGUCUGUGUCUUUGAUUCAUGUUGAUCUCAAGUCAUGGGAAAGUCAGUGCAUAUGCGGUACACAGCCAGUAAAUAACGCAGUUAAAAAGAGUUGAGCCUGAAAGUCAUGAAGCAUCUGUAUCAGAGACUGUGUGAGGAUGCUAGACAUGAGCAGACUGUUACUGCCUGUGCACAGCGUGGCCAGCUGGUGAUCCUUCCUGUGUUGUUGGAUUCCACGUGACUCACAUGAGCUGCUGAUGUCUUUGGUGAGACAUUUUAUAAUAGUUUACAUUGCUUUGGGAACAUUUAUCCUCCAACAAUUGCUUUAAAUUUAAGAUUUAAUACUCAAAGAAAACUCAGAUUAAGCCAUAGACGGGACCCACUUGACAUUUCACUAGGUUUGAAGGCACUCUGUGAUACUAGGGAAGAAAAGAAUGAACUAUCUACAGCCAAACUCAGGUUUCUUCAUUACUUUAAAUUGAAAUCUUGGUGGCAGUUUAGACAGAAUUUUACUUUAAAUCAAGUAUAAUCUAAGAUAUAAGAUUAAAUAAUAACUGCACUAUGACAGGUGUUCAGAAAUAUACCACUGUGAGAAUGAAACUAGUUAAGUCACUUACUGAUUUUAAAAGAAUGAAAGACUUUGAGCAAAUUUAGUUCCCAACAAGCUACUAGCUUUAUUUUUGUAAAGGUAUGCUAGCUGAUAGUUAAAUGGAUUAAUCAUGGCCUUUUUUGAACGUAUACUAAAAUGAUGCCUUUGGGAUGGAAAGGAAGGUUUAGAACUUUAAAUAUAAUACAGACCUUUUUUGGGAAUUGCUUGUUUUUUAUUGCAUUUACCUGCUUAACCAUUUCUUUGGAUACAUCUUGCAUGUAAUCCUAACACUUAGAAUUCUGACAUUCUUCCUUGGUUCCCGCUUUUGGAGUGGAGAUACAGUGCCCAACCUAGACUCAGUGGUUGCGGUCAGGGCAACUGUCUCAGCCCAAGCUAAAUACUUUGACUGUUAAGUCAGAAGAAACAGAAUAGAUUGGAAAUGGUUUUUAUUAUAUAAACAUGGCUUAUAGAAUUAUGAACAAAGAAUGGAUUAAAGGCAUUUAAUGUUUGUAAUUGAUACUAACUGUAGAGAUGGCCCUAAAGCAUGCUGCAUAAUUAAUAAUUUAUAUUUUCAUUAUUAUAAAUGUUUAUAUUAAUGAUACUGGAUUUGAUUAUAUCAAAUUAGUCACCAUUUUAUAGUACCAAUAUUUCUGUCUUUUUCUUAAAAAUGUUCUUUAAUUAUUCCUGAACAUGAGAGUUCACAUAUUCCUUGGACACUUAAAAUGGGAAGUGACAGGUAACUGUUUUAACUUUAGUUAAAAAUAAUGUCACUGGGGCUGGUGAGAUGGCUCAGUGGGUAAGAGCACCCGACUGCUCUUCCGAAGGUCCAGAGUUCAAAUCCCAGCAACCACAUGGUGGCUCACAACCAUCUGUAACAAGAUCUGACGCCCUCUUCUGGAGUGUCUGAAGACAGCUACAGUGUACUUACAUAUAAUAAAUAAAUAAAUCUUUAAAAAAAAAAAAAAUAAUGUCACUGUAGUCUGGAUAAAUUAUAAUAAGUUCAUGUAUUUGAAAUAAAGUCUCUGAUGAGAGAAAUAUUUAAAUGGUAUUAAACUGCUGAGCAACAGGGCUUCAGUAUGUUCACACCUGGGUUACUGUAUACGUUGGAUGAUGGUUUUCUUUUGCUAACAAUAUUUUUUCAGAAAUAUUGUAAUUUAAAUAUUAACAUGAGUGUUUUGUUGUAAAUUCACAGAAAACUUAAUGAUGUUCAAAUUCUCAGGAAUUAAGAACUAACCAUAACAUUGUCAGUUCUGAUUAAAUUUUGUAAAAGACAGCAAGUUUGUUAUCUCACUUGAGUGGGGUUCUCCUUUCCCUUGGCUCAAAUAGAAUACAAUACGUAUAAUAAAGCAUUAAUAAAUAUAAUUUCAAAACUG
Mus musculus (house mouse) is the source of this 6534-nucleotide RNA transcript. It is a transcript of the gene named WASH complex subunit 4, with no coding region annotated. The record is from RefSeq and is marked validated. Lineage: Eukaryota; Metazoa; Chordata; Mammalia; Rodentia; Muridae. The transcript is spliced from 32 exons.